GUCCACGCCCUAACGAUGUCAACUGGUUGUUGGACGGCUUGCUGUUCAGUAACGAAGCUAACGCGUGAAGUUGACCGCCUGGGGAGUACGGCCGCAAGGUUGAACUCAAGGAAUUGACGGGGACCCGCACAAGCGGUGGAUGAUGUGGUUUAAUUCGAUGCAACGCGAAACCUUACCUACCCUUGACAUGUCUGGAAUUCUUCAGAGAUGUGGAAGUGCUCGAAAGAGAACCAGAACACAGGUGCUGCAUGGCCGUCGU
Molecule: ribosomal RNA, 259 nt
Filed under: uncultured bacterium
Lineage: Bacteria
Description: partial 16S ribosomal RNA
Rfam family: Bacterial small subunit ribosomal RNA
Source: RNAcentral